UCCCUGGUGGUCUAAUGGUUAAGACUCUGCAUUCCAAUGCAGAGACACAGGUUUGAUCCCUGGUCGGGGAA
Molecule: transfer RNA, 71 nt
Filed under: Odocoileus virginianus texanus
Lineage: Eukaryota; Metazoa; Chordata; Mammalia; Artiodactyla; Cervidae
Also listed under: 4 other names
Rfam family: tRNA
About the family: Transfer RNA (tRNA) molecules are approximately 80 nucleotides in length.
Source: Rfam by way of RNAcentral